AAAUGGCCACAAUUUGAAAGUUG
RNAcentral lists this non-coding RNA (23 nucleotides) under Arabidopsis thaliana (thale cress). Lineage: Eukaryota; Viridiplantae; Streptophyta; Magnoliopsida; Brassicales; Brassicaceae. The record is from RNAcentral.